AAACUAAGCAGGAGGUAAAGCAGAAGAAAUUCCACCACAAUUGUAUUCCUAAUCAUCAAGCACAAGGGCAUCUUAUACAUCAUAUUUUCCCAGUCAAUCAGCACAUUAGUCUUCCUCAGGCAAGAUUAAUUCACAGCAAUCUGGUAGAAGCCCUCAAGACUUAGCAAUUGCAGACAACCGCAGUACACUACCUACUGGAGUCAAAAGGAAAGCCAUCAGAAGUCAGAAUCCAAACUGGUUUUCUUCUCAGUGACCCAGGAAAACCAAUGCCUCAUCAACACUUUAAGAUUAAUAAACCUCAACAGAACUCAGGAUGGAAUUGGAUCUUUCUGGCUUGCACACUACUUACUUAUUCACCCGUUCACCAGUGGCUCCACUGCCAGACCCCUGCAUCUGACUCAGAGAGGGCUUGAAGUUCCACUCUAGAGAUUUGACCACAAGGAUCUAAGCAUACAUUCCAGGGAAGUGCUGCAUUGUUGGGGUUACUUUUUUUUGGAAGGAAUGAUGAACUGAGGCUCUGUCUGCUCUUUCAGAUCUCCCACUUUUGCAAAAUUCCCUGAGGAAGGAAGGCAGCCAGGCUGGCUGCUCCCAAGUCUCUGCUGCAGCUGUUCCCCAGUGGUUCACAGAAGGUGAAAACAACAGGGAGUCUAUUGGUCUUCCCUUCCUUCCUGUGGAGGAGCAAGCACUUUUAAGUCAACUCAAGCAAGAUUCAAGGAAGAUGUUCAAUGGAGACACAAGAGACUUGCUGAGUUCUGAUGUUGCUCAGCCCAAUGAGCUGCUCAGCCAAAUGAGUUCCUCCAGCAGUUUUUUUUGCUGCAGGAAGAUGUUCACAUUUGUGGCUGACCAUCAGGAACAAGAAACUGAGCUGUGAAUAAAGGAUAGCAAAAUCAACAUCUUUUUGGUUCUUAAAAGAACAGAUAACAGAAGCCUAGAAGAAGACAGACGAAUACUUCACUGAUAAGUCUAGUUAUAAGACCCACAUGGAGACUGAGGUCCUUGUAUGAACUAUCAGGAGCAAUCAAAUCAACUAUUUCCUAUACCUGAUUAGCUCAGUAUGAAUGACUAGAAUGCCACACAAGUGGUGAAGUGGAAAAUGGAGACAAUCUGCUGCAACAAAUAGUCCAGCUGCAACAGGAUGAAGUUGGACAAAAUGGAUUGGACCUGGACUGGAUUACUGAUGUGGCACUGUCUCAUUGGAGAGGAAUAGAAGGAGAUGCAUCUUGGAAACAGAAUUUAAAUCCUUUGCUAAUCCUGGAACAGUACAAGAACCUAAGAUCGAAGACUGACUCUUGGUCCAACGUUUGCAAGGAGAAACCCUGAGACUGGGACUCUAAUACAAGUGCAACUUCAGCACAACACAUCUAUGACAAAGCAGCUAACUCAAAUGGCAUGCAAUCCUCCAACCUAUCUGUGAACUUUCUCCAACACCAGUGCAUUGUGGCUCUAGCAUGUAACAUCUAAAAAGUGUCCUACAGCAAACUAUUGGGUCACCUCCCAAGCUCGUGACUUUUACCAUCCAGAGGAUAUGGGUGAAGGCACAUGGGAAUACCACCAAGAUUCUAUCCACAUCAAUCAUUAUCGUUAUUUGAAAAAUAUCACUGUUCCUUAAUCACUGAGCCUAAAUCCUAGUACUAAUAAUCCACCAGUGUUUUGAGAAUACCCUCACCAUAAGGACCACAGAUAGAUAAGAAACCCAUUCUCAGGAACAAUUAGAGAUGGGUAAUAAAUGCUGGCCUUGCCAGUGUAAUUUAAAAAAAUACAUACAAAGCAUUAAAGGUGCACACAAAAUAGCCAGUC
Molecule: long non-coding RNA, 1797 nt
Organism: Pristis pectinata (smalltooth sawfish)
Lineage: Eukaryota; Metazoa; Chordata; Chondrichthyes; Rhinopristiformes; Pristidae
Exons: 6
Source: RefSeq, a predicted model, not a curated record